This 668-nucleotide ribosomal RNA is filed under the name uncultured bacterium. RNAcentral describes it as "bacterial SSU rRNA". It matches the Rfam family "Bacterial small subunit ribosomal RNA", at positions 821 to 1500 of the family's 1533-position model. The record is from RNAcentral.
CGUUGGGGGUAUCGACCCCCUCAGNGUCGUAGUUAACACGCUAAGUGGUCCGCCUGGGGAGUACGGUCGCAAGAUUAAAACUCAAAGGAAUUGACCGGGGACCCGCACAAGCAGCGGAGCGUGUGGUUUAAUUCGAUGCAACGCGAAGCACCUUACCAGGACUUGACAUGAGCUUGCACCAGCGGUAAUGCGCUGUCUCCUUCGGGAGCGGGUUCACAGGUGCUGCAUGGCUGUCGUCAGCUCGUGUCGUGAGGUGUUGGGUUCAGUCCCGCAACGAGCGCAACCCCUGUCGUUAGUUGAAUUUUUCUAGCGAGACUGCCGGUUAAACGGAGGAAGGCGGGGACGACGUCAAGUCAGCACGGCCCUUACGUUCUGGGCGACACACACGCUACAAUGGUUAGGACAAUGGGAUGCGAACCCGCGAGGGGGAGCCGAUCUAAGCAAACCUAGCCUCAGUUCAGAUUGGAGGCUGCAACCCGCCUCCAUGAAGUUGGAGUUGCUAGUAACCGCAAGUCAGCACAUUGCGGUGAAUACGUUCCCGGGUCUUGUACACACCGCCCGUCACACCACGAAAGUCGGCAACACCUGAAGCCGCUGGGCUAACCCGACAAGGGAGGCAAGCGUCGAGGGUGGGGUCGGUGAUUGGGGUGAAGUCGUAACAAGGUACC